This 473-nucleotide ribosomal RNA is filed under the name uncultured organism. RNAcentral describes it as "partial 16S ribosomal RNA". It matches the Rfam family "Bacterial small subunit ribosomal RNA", at positions 332 to 797 of the family's 1533-position model. The record is from RNAcentral.
UACACUCCUGCGGGAGGCAGCAGUGGGGAAUAUUGCACAAUGGGCGCAAGCCUGAUGCAGCCAUGCCGCGUGUAUGAAGAAGGCCUUCGGGUUGUAAAGUACUUUCAGCGGGGAGGAAGGCGAUAAGGUUAAUAACCUUGUCGAUUGACGUUACCCGCAGAAGAAGCACCGGCUAACUCCGUGCCAGCAGCCGCGGUAAUACGGAGGGUGCAAGCGUUAAUCGGAAUUACUGGGCGUAAAGCGCACGCAGGCGGUCUGUCAAGUCGGAUGUGAAAUCCCCGGGCUCAACCUGGGAACUGCAUUCGAAACUGGCAGGCUAGAGUCUUGUAGAGGGGGGUAGAAUUCCAGGUGUAGCGGUGAAUUGCGUAGAGAUCUGGAGGAAUACCGGUGGCGAAGGCGGCCCCCUGGACAAAGACUGACGCUCAGGUGCGAAAGCGUGGGGAGCAAACAGGAUUAGAUACCCCGGUAGUCCC